UCCGCGCGUCGCUCGCAAUUGUUGUCCGCCUAAACCGAUUACUAUUAUUAAUUGACAGCUAUAAAAACCAGGAUGACAGAUAAUAGAAAGAAUUUAAUGGAGUCGUGACACGUGUGGAAAGAAAAUUAUUUCUCUUGUUUUAUGAAUUAAAUUUCCAUUUUCAUUGAUAUUCAUAUAAUUGUUAUACAUAUAAUGUUCAUAUCUCUAGUUUUUGAAUUGAUACUCAAACAUACUAAACUUAUAACAAAAGAAAUUAAUGCUACGUCUAUACUUUUAUAAAUCUAUGUGACUCACAAAAAAAAAUAAUAAAGAAAUUAAUCAAAAAUAUGUCUCAUAAGCUGUCAACUGUCAUGUUGUAAUUAUCCAGGUUUUCGCUAAAGAAACAUUAACAUAUAUGAUGGGACAGAGUGAGAACUUAAAAAAGUUAAUCUUGUAUUAAAAUCGGUUCAGGGGUUUGAAAAGAAAACACAUGUGAGUAGAAAAAAAAAUAAAAUUGUUGUCCUAGUAUAGUGGAAAAUAGCAAGCUUAAAAAUUUAACAGUUAAAAAAAAGUUUGCGAUUAUUUGUAAUAUUUUAGAAUGAAAAACGUUUUACUGUCAAUGUUUCAUUAUAGGAUUCAAGAGACGUAAUAAAAAAAAAUAUUAAAAUUAAUUUAAAGUUUGCCCUGUUCUUACUUUCUGUAAAAAAUAUUUUCACUGCUACUUGUAGUUCAGAAAUCUACAACUUCAAAAUUUUUAUAUUUUUACUUAAAAAAUAUACAAAAAACAGAAUUUCCAAAGUAGGUUGAUUAGAUGUUGAUUGUUUGAUAUGAGAAUUCAAUAUUUAUUUGUAAACAAUGCAGUUCGCACAAAUAAAAACAAAAUGACAAAAAGUAUGUUUACUUAACUGUCGGUAUACGUAGUUCAGUUGAGCGUUGAUGUAAUAUAUUUUGCAUUCGUUAAAAAUAAGGAUGUAAAUAUCAGGAAUAAAAAGGUUCACAGGUCCUCAUUAGUCACUCGUACUAAGAUAAACAGAUAAACAUGCGUUUUCUCCAUAUAUAUAAUUCACAUUAAUCGUGUUAGGACUAAAGAUGAAAAAAUUUUAUUUAAAUAAUGCUUAUAAAACGAAACAAAUUGUUAUCUGAUUCUGAACUAUUUUAUUAAACAUAACAAAUUAUAAUGAGGCCAUGGUAAGUACGAACAUACAUCCUCAGAAGCAAUAAAACUAUGACUCUAAUAUUUACGCUUUUAAUACAACAGGCAAAGUGAGUAAGCAAUCAACGAAGUGACAAGUAAUAAAUAAGUAAGUAGUUACCCACGACUGGGAAAUAAACGUAAGAUUGCGGUCACUUGAAUUUUCAUGUAGCACCUAAAUACUAUAAAUACCCCCACGUGUAAGUGAGAUUUGAUUAUAACACGGAUAUAAAGCAUCACCUCAUCAAAUAAACAGUCCAAGGGCUGGCAUUGACGCGCCGUGAGCCGUCCAAAAUGGUUACCUAAUAUGAACUAACCUUCCAUCUCAAACGUAACAACCUUGACUUUCAGCGUUUUAUUGUGAUCGCGAUUAUAACGAUAAGGGUCGCUUGACUCUUCCUUAACAAAAUACAUUGUUGCUUACAAUUUAAUUGAACAAGUUAAUACGUAUUAUACGUGAAAAAGAUCAUUAGGGAGCACUUGGUUUAUUAGGUAUUAAAGACAUUUUUGUUAAAAAGAAUUUAAUAUUAUAUAGAAAACAUGAUUUAGAUAAACGUGUUUGGUGCUACUGAAAUCCCAGAGUAGACGACUAGCUCGAAGACAUCCUAAUGUACAGACGGAGUCGUUAAAUACUAGAAAAAAUCUAUUAUUAGUUGCGUGUUUUUGGUCCAUGAAAAGGACAUUACAUCAUCAGGUAAUACAUGGGACAGUUUUAAUGUGUUUCCAGCCAGACUCUUUCAAUGCUUGCCAACAAUUAUAAUGAAGUACCUACUUACGCAAUACAGUGGCUGCUAUAUAAUUUUAUUUUAAUGAAUUCUACAAUAAAAUCUUAUAAACUUCGAAUUCUUCAAAUAAUCAUUCAAAGGAAUAAGAGUCACAGUAUAAGUUUUGAAACAAUCUGACAAUUUAUAACCAUCUGUAUUGUAUAGCAUACACACAAUACGUUAGAGUCGUAAAGUAUUUUUUACUGGUGUUGCGGUCAUGAGAAGGCUUUAAAGCUAUAACAAUAGAUCUUUAGAAAUAUUAUAAUCUACUUACAACAAAAACUAUCCAUAUAUAGAUA
Long non-coding RNA from Danaus plexippus (monarch butterfly), 2234 nucleotides. RefSeq lists it as uncharacterized. The record is from RefSeq and is a predicted model, not a curated record. The transcript has 2 exons. NCBI's taxonomy places the organism in Eukaryota, Metazoa, Arthropoda, Insecta, Lepidoptera, Nymphalidae.